UACGUAGGGUGCAAGCGUUGUCCGGAAUUAUUGGGCGUAAAGAGCUCGUAGGCGGUUUGUCGCGUCGAAUGUGAAAACCCGGGGCUCAACCCCGGGCCUGCAUUCGAUACGGGCAGACUAGAGGUAGGCAGGGGAGAGCGGAACUCCUGGUGUAGCGGUGGAAUGCGCAGAUAUCAGGAAGAACACCGGUGGCGAAGGCGGCUCUCUGGGCCUUACCUGACGCUGAGGAGCGAAAGCGUGGGUAGCGAACAGG
This 253-nucleotide ribosomal RNA is filed under the name uncultured bacterium. Its description in RNAcentral is "partial 16S ribosomal RNA". It matches the Rfam family "Bacterial small subunit ribosomal RNA", at positions 524 to 776 of the family's 1533-position model. The record is from RNAcentral.